UCCUGCAGAAUUCAGACAAGAAUUCAGCUUCCUGCAGUUGGCUAGGAAUCUCACAUACAGUAUUCUGAUGAUGGCAUGGGCGGCGACGACGGCCCUGAGAAGUCUUGGCCCUGCGAUUGGCCUGAUUACUAUGGUGGGAACGGGCCGUCCGGCGGACCUGGGUGAGGGGGGCAACAGCCUGACGCUGUCUCCGAGAUUUGGGCCUAAGUUUCUUAGGCAUCUGAGUUGCCCCUCCUCAUUUACCACCCCAUCAGAAAGAGGUGAGGGUAGGGGAACAGCCUGGACUGGCUGCUCCUCUGUCUCCAUGCCACUCCUCCCUCAGCGUCAUUAUGUGUUCAUCACAUGUCACGGGAAGGGUCAUGGAAGAAAAGGCUCUGUGGGAGGAUGAGCCAAGUUCCUGGUCCUGCGCUGGAGGUAGGGUCUGAGGCUCAGUUCGGCCAGAUCCUGGGAAGGAUGCCCCUACCAGGCAUCCCUUCUCGCCAAGAGAAAUAAGCAUCAUGAGCUACAGCUGAGGUUACAAAUUUCAAACUUUAUAAGCAGAAGUCAGAAGAAUGUCUCCACAAAUAGGGAGAGAACACACGGAGAAGUGACCAGUGAAGGACUGCUACCCAAAGUACACAAUGAACUCAUGACACUGAGUGAGCAGGGGACAACCUAAGUUAAACCUGAGCAAAGGACCUGAACUACACAGAGAAUAAGCCCAAGAAAGAUGACCACACCCGCCUCUAGAGGGCUACACUUAAAACAAUGUGAAGCCACUAUCACAGUGCCAAAUGCUGACAUGGGUGUGGGCCGCAGAAGCUCUCCUUUUUGCGGACAGCAGGAGGGCAGAGCUGCACAGCCAUUUCGGAAGACAGUCUGCAUGGACUCCUUUUCCAGCCGAGGCAUUCUGGAAGAGGUAAAACUACGGAGACAACAACAGGAUCAAUGCUUCUCGGGGACAGUGGGGGAGGGGACAAACAGAACACAAGGAUGCUUACAGUGUAAAUCAGUGCCCUAAGACACUGACGCGCUGUAUAUGCCACUGUAUGUAUGCCCAAACUUGCGCACUGUACAAACACUAAGAGUAACCCCAACAUGGAGGUGAUAUGUGUAGGUACAUGGCUUGUAACUCAGGCACCUCCCUGGUGCCACACAACAGUGGGAACAGUGAGCAGGUGGAAACUAAAUUUCGGUUCUGAAAAAAAAAGCUGGGAGUGGAAUGAAGAUGUACUUGAUGUAAGCAAACUUUCAUUUAAAGUGUCACACACACAUGUGCAGGGUGUGGAGAUCAGAAAACAAAUCUGCAGUCAUGGUCUCUCCUGCUGUCUGGGGACUUUGGGACAGAACUCAGGUUGUCAUGCCUGUGCACAGGCACCUCUAUCAGCAGCUUUGCCCACUGAGCCACGUGCUGGCCCCGACGGACCUUAUUCUUGACUGAAGCAGUUAGCCUAGUCCUAAGUCUGUAGCCACUGUAGCAUCUGUGGACUCUUUUUUUUUUUUCUUCUUUUUUCUUUUUUUCAGAGCUGGGGACUGAACCCAGGGCCUACCACUGAGCUAAAUCCCCAACCCCGCAUCUGUGGACUCUUAAAUGCAAGAUUUUACUUCCUGAGACAUUUUCCAUGAGUACAGUCUUCAAACAGCAGAUAGUAAAGAAAAAGAGAACUGAGAACUGGCUGUGUCUACGGCAAGUACUUCUCUCGCCCAUACUUGGUUAUGCGGGCACUUUGAUACCAUUCCUUAUUUUUGCUACUGAGUCCCUCUGCCUUUUCUCGUGGAAAGACGCCCUUUAGAAGUACCUGUGGAAAUCACUCAGGUCUUCUGCAUCAAUAUAGUCAUCUAAGUUCAGAGUCAAGUCUGCCACCUGCUGUGUGCCAUGCUCCUAGAAGAGUGAAAACAGAAAAUGAGAGACGGGUAUAUUUAUUUCCCAGUUUAUUGGUAACAAGGGAAGCUGGGCAACGAACUGUGGUACCCAGUGCAUACAUAACCAUAAUCUGGAGCAGCACAGAAACAGGCCCAACUAAGGGCAGGCAUCUUGCUCAGGAAGGGAACAUGGAGCACUGUAGACUGAGUACUAAUCAACACCCAACCUCAAGAGGGCAAGCAACAGUGGUUUCUAGGGUUUGGGGUACUGCUUUUGUUUUUGUUUUUAAAGAUUUAUUUAUUUUUAUGUGAGUAUAUCAUUGUCUUCAGACACACUAGAAGAGGACAUCAGAUCUCAUUACAGAUGGUUGUGAGCCACCAUGUGGUUGCUGGGAAUUGAACUCAGGACCUCUGGAAGAGCAGUCAGUGCUCUUAACCACUGAGCCAUCUCUCCAGCCCUGGGGAGAUGUGUAACUUUGAAUCUACCUUAAUGAGCUAUUUCCAUUCUUUUAAUCCGCUUAAAUUAACCUAAAGGAAUUGUUUGUGACUAAGAACCCAGUUCUUAGAAAAGAAUUAUAUGUUCACCAAUAAAGAAAAGGCCAGUGAAGUAACCUUCACACAUGUUGAAUGGAAAAGUCAAGUACAAAUAAUGCAGUCAGACACUUUGUAAGCACAUGCAACCAAGACAAAAUGGAACAGAAAGAAAGUCAUUUACUUCCGUGUGUUCACAGUUCAGGGGAGAAUACGAGCAUUAGAGCAGAGCACAGGUAAGUACACAAACACAAGACAUGGUAGGUACCAAAUGGAAAAUAGAAAGAAAGCUAUCAUUUAGACUUUUCUGGCAGGUAAGGUGGAUAGUCAGGGCUGAACGCUCAUGCAAGAGCAUAUACACACACACACACACAUACACACACACACACACACACACACACACACACACACGUGCGCGUGCGCGUGCGCAAGAGGAGGGGCAGGCUAAAGGAAUGACGGCAGAAGGUAUAUACACGUGUACAAUGUAUUGGAGGUGUCAGCUCCAGAGCAGGAUUCAUGGACUGUAAAGGGCCCAGACAGUACAACUUCUUACUUACGAAGAUAAAAGAGAUGCUGGGGCUAACUACAGUAGCCUUUACCUCCUGUGCUGCCAGUGAGUGCUGCUGUGGACAGGAAGUUCCUUUUUGGUAUAGUAGAGGCAAUGAACACCUUUGAGCACAAAGCUCUCCUACAUACAUACACUAUGGUUUCUCACCUCAGGAGAAAAUGCCCAAGGUGGGAUUGCUAGGUAAAAACUUUGGGGACAUUUCUGAAUUCACUGUUAAAAUGAGUUUCUAAACAGGCAUCUCAACCCCACACCAUGAGCAGAACCCGGGUCAGACUCACCAGCACAUUGAUGAUCAUGCCGUUCUCCACAGACACAGCUUUCAGAAGGAGUUUUCUGGCACCGUCCUUAGACUCAUACCGGAGGGCAUACAGUUCUUUAUUGCUGUUCCACUCAGCCGGCAGUAGUUCUGACUUCUUAUCAUUGGGGUCUGGCUGAGAAGACACCAGGCUUAAGAAUAGGAAGAGCUUGGCCUCAGAACCCAAAACUACAAAGGACCAUAUUGCCCAGACCUCAUCCCGUCCCUCACACCACAGACGUGUCCAGGGAUACACAGCUAGUUAGAGGUCUGGGAACGACCAGUCUUACUCAGCUGUGUGGUUGCUUUGAGGACAACACAGGAAGAACCUGCCGAGAAGCUAAGGCCUUGGGCUGGGACUAAAGCUAAGUAGUAGAGUGUCCUACCGUGUAAGAGGACCUAGGUCCCAGAGCCACCCAAAGCUAAAAUAACUAACAGCCCUGGCUUUUCUACUCUCUCUACUCUGUCAUCCUAACAAGAAUAAGGCCAGUGUGGAAUUAAAAGCAGUAUUUCCCACAAUUCACACCUUGGGCUAUCUGUAAUGGCAUCACAAAUGACUAAAAGCACAGAUCCUAAAAGACUCCAACAAUUGAGGCGGUUUGAUAAAAAUCGUGAUCGUAAACCCCAAAUGGAGCACACAAACAAGAUUUACAAGUUGUAAAAUAGGUCCUUAUGUAGCCUUCAGCAGCAUAGAAGUUCAGUGUCAUCAGUCAAUACGCAUUACCACUAAAGCCUAUGCACAACCAAUAUUCUGCAUUGUGUGUGUGUGUGUGUGUGACUUUUGUAUUUGUAUCAUGUUUUCGUUUCCUUCACAUUACAUCACUGUACACAAAGCUCAGCCUGGAUACUCUAUUCCAGAGUAACCAUUUUGACGCCCAGUACCCACAUGGAGGCUUUCAACCAUCUGUAACUUGUCCUACGGGAUCUGGUGCCCUCUUCUGGCCUUAGUGGGUACCAGACAGGCAUAAGACACACAGACAUACAUGCAGACAAAACACUGAUACACAUUAAAUAAGCUAAAUAUAUAUUCAAAUAUAAUAUAAACUAUCCAUCCACCCACCCACCCAUCUAUUCUAAUGCUUUUGAAUUCAGUUGCUUUCCACCUUAUUGUCUGAAACACGGUCUCUCAAUGAACCUGGAACUAAGUGACUCAGAAGGCUGGCCAGUGAGCUCCAGGGAAGUGCCUCUUCCUCUACUCAACACCACACCUGGCUUUGAUAUAGGCGCUAGGAACAAAAACUCAGGUACUCAUGCUUUCAGGGUAGGCACUUCACCGACUCAGCCAUCUUCUUGGCCCAACCCUUGCCCUUUUUAUCCAGUGUUGUUUUGGGAAGGUGAUCAGUUGUCUGUAUCUGAUCCACAGGCACAACUAUACUGGGCUGCACAACAGAAUAUGCUAGGAUUUACAAUUUCACUGGCUGACAGACAUUAGAAGUUCAUUAGAGGUUAUAAACAAUGCUGCUAUGACCAUAUUGUUGUACACAUCUGGCACACAUGUGGUAUGCCCAGAGGAAGAACUUUCAUAAGAUAAAAGCAAACUGUGUACCAGAUACUGACGGGCACUCUCACCUUGCAAUAUGCAAUCUUCUGGUGCUACACGCAGCCUGCAGGAUUGCUAUUACCUUCUCGUUUGUCUCUGCCAAGCCGGUGGGCUGUAAAAUGUAUCUGUGUCUCCUUUAUUUUCCUAUUUCAUAAUUCUAAGAUUUCCUUGUCUUAGUUAUAACUUCUAUUGCUGUGAUUAAAACACCAUAACUAAAAGCAACUUGGGGAGGAAAGGGUUCAUUUUUAUUUACUUCAUUAUUGAUUUUUCUAUACCAUCAUGUAUCAUAGAAGGAAGUCAAGGCAGGAACCUGGGGCAGGGACUGAAGCAGAAGCUAUGGAGGAACUGCUUGCUGGCUUGCUCAGGUUGCUUUCAUACUCACCCCACCCAGGACCAACUAACCAGUGAGCUGGGCCAUCUUUCCCUCAGCAAUCAUUCGUCAAGAAAAUGGCUUACAGAUUUACCUAUCUCAUGGUCAAUCUUAUGGAGGCAUUUUCUCAAAUGAGACUCCUCUUCCCAUGUAACUCUAGCUUGUGUUCAAAGUCCCCCCCCACCCACAAAAAAAACCCCCAAGCAACAAAGACAUUCCCUUUCAAACAUUAAAGUAUGAGAGUACUUCACAAUUCACAGUAAAAACAAGCAGUGACUUUCAGGUAGGGAAUAAAGUUCUUAAGCAGGACCACUAAAAGAAACAGAAUGCCACUUGUGAGGCUACCCAUAACUUAGAGCUUCUGUUCAGCCAUGACACUUCAGCGAAAAGGAACCACAAAUGACAAGAAUUAAUAACCAGACAUAGGGAAGGCUUGGAAAACAAGCAACAGAAAGCGCAGCUAACCAUAUAAACGUUGUUUGGCCUUCCAAAUGUACCAGCUACCAAGGGCAGCUGAAAUAGUGAGAUGAAGGCUACACCAGCCUAGGACUGUGAGUCUGACUGGGCAUGUGUGAACCUUCAGACAGUACUUCCGGGAAUUUGAACUUACACAGUCCCUUUGGGAUACCAUCUAGCAGUACUUAGUACUUUUAGGUGACCAUAUAAGCCAGGACUCAAAUGUCCGCCUAGAAGGAAGCUGUGGAGAUACAUGGGAGCCUGAGAAGCAGUGUCCACCUUCAUCCCAGCCUGGGCUUAAACAGUCGAAGCAGAGGUAAAAUGCAUACUAAGUUGACACUGGCUUAUUACACUGCAGUCAGAAGGAACACACUAGAUCUAAUUAAAGUAUUCGUGUGUGUGUGUGUGUGUGUGUGUGUGUGUGCGCGCGUGUGUGUGUGUGUGUGUGCACGCAAGUGUGUGUGCCUGAGUGUCCACUGGCAAUCAAGGGCCAGGAGAAGAGGAGUAAUUCUAUGAAACACUCUCCUCUGGGCACACCAUGCACAUAGCACUCAUGAACACCACCUUCCUAAGAGCAAGUCACCAAGAUAAGCAAUAUUCUGUCAGGAAGCACCAACUGGACUCUGUGGGUUAUGAGUGGGGUACAUGAAGUGGGAAUUUACAGGGGGAGAGGGAGGAGUUGGGAAAAGUUUACGGACCAAUACCGUUGAUGAAAAAGCACACGUUACAUUGUCAACACAGAAUAGCAUGACCAGAAGCUGUGCUCAUGAGAACAUGGUGGGAUGGGAAGGAGUGAGGCUAGAGAUGGAGAACACUGACAAAGGUCCACACAGGAAGGACUUUACACAGCAAAUGCAAGGGAAGGCCACCCCUGGUACUUGGAAAUCCUUUGGCAGAGGAGUCCCAUCAAACUUGGCUAGGUGACAAGGAAACUGGGCUUCAAGCAAAGUCAGGAGAGUAAGGAGAAAACAAAACUGAAACUAGCCACAGCCCUGAGAAACCCUCUUGCCUUGCUGGGUAAUGUGCUACUGUGGUGUGGACUUCAAGGGUUACUUCCGGGUGUUUAAGACAAGGCUGGCAGACCUUACCCAUGUUCUGUCAAGACCUUUGACUUUACUUUCUCCUGUCCUAUAUGGACAGCAUUGACCCUACUAGCAGGCUCUCUUGGCUUACAGACAACCUCUUCUGCUCCCCACAUCAACACCUUCUCGACAGAGCAAGAGAGAACUGCUGGGGUCAGGUAACAACAGAUAAAGCUGUUGCCUCACUAUGGUAAGACUGAUGCUUCAUCCAGACAGGCCCAACACAUCAUGUGGCUGCCCUCUGCACCUUGAGAUAAAAUAUCAAGUGUCCCAGAAGGCUAUGCUUGGCAGGUAACCAAAGCAUCAUUUAACUCCCUCAGAUGAAAACUCGAAGGCCUGAGAGGACAGAGCAGGUCAGGCUGGAGAUCCUUCCCAGACAGACUGGCCCUAAGAAGGUAAAGGUAAUUCUUAGGCAAAUCCUGAGGCUAGAAACACUUUUUAAUGACCACUGAGCUCACUCCAGUGCCUCUGGGCUAGAACGCAACCAACCAACCAACCAAAACUGCACUCAAAAACAGCUCAUUUUCUCUUUAUAAUCUACAGACUCCCACAACACAAAGUCAAAUUUUCUAACUCGUACCUAUGGCCUUCUCCACAAGGAGACCAAUCAAUGCCUGAUCUUUGUUCGAGUCAACAAACUUGUUCUUGAAAUCAAAUAUUACAAGCCCAGCUCUGUAGCACUAGAGACAAAAGCAAAGAAAAAGUGGGCAGCACAGCUCUCUAACUGCUGAGUUGGUAUUACAGAGUCAAGUGCAUGCUUUGUUUCUCUCUUACUACCCACAGAAGGUGGGUGGCAGGAGGCAGCUAAAGACAACACAAAUACCCUCUGGAAAAUAAAAUUCUCUAAAGAUAAGUUAACAGUUAAUAGUCUCUCAAUUUUUAAUUGAUUAAUUUUUUUUUUCUUCUACCCUGAAAAGACAUACCCGUCAGCAGAGUGGAGGGUAAAGGCAACUUGAGCCCUGAAAGGACUUUGGGAGAAUGGGCAAUAAGAAACAAACAAAGCAUUCUAGUAUGAAACCCAAACACUGUCCUCUCUAGGGGCAAGCUGGAGUUAGCACUGAGGUAGACAGCUGGUCAGCAGACAGUGCUUUCUAAAAGUCCCAUUCCCCAGGCUCCUAGGCCCUCCCAAAGAUGUCUGGAUCUUGCAUCCUGAGGAACUACUUGAGGUACGGAAGAAGAGAAGAUGGGGAAGGGGAGAGGAGAGAAAUCAGUAAAAAUGUUUAUGUAUUGAUUCCUUCUGGUGGGGGUUAAGGGUGAAAGGGGGCUGAGUGGUCUGAGUUCCUAGUUAUAUAGGACAGACAUGAAUGGAACCCAGCAGGGCCAUGCCUGGUUAAAUACUCAGGGUGUUCAAAGUGUGUCCAUAAAGCUGUGUAAGGAGAGACAAUGUCCUAAGACAGACAGAUAUCUAAGAAGCUAAAAAUAUUUAGGGGUUUGGGAAUUGAUGCAGCUAGAAAUGAGAGGAAGAUUAAAAUCUCACCACAAAAUCCAAGGGGUGAGGGGAGCCUUCUUUUCAGAAUUGGUCUGAGUUAUGUGUGCCAAGACAGUGACAGUGGGGCAGGCUCAGAGUCCUGAGUCCCCAAAUGUUUGUAUGUGGGGAUUGUGGCUAGGAGGAUAUUUCCUCUGAUGGAGCAGAUAGUAAAUGAAAGGGCAGAAAGGAAACCAAGGCCAGUUCACCCCAAAACCUACAGGCACACAUGGAGGGUGAGGGUUGUGAGGAAGGAGCAGAGAAAUGGAGACUGCUAGGGCAGAGAAAUAGUGAUACUAAGGAGGUGUCAGCAAAGCAUCAUUGGCCAAGAGGCCGAAUCUGGAGAUGAGAGAGUAGACGGGAUUCUGGUGACGACAGCUAGGGGAAGACGCUCACAGUCAAGGUUUACGUGUGUAGUUACUAGGUUAAGUGCUACCUAGGUUCUGUUUCUAGGCCUGUAGACUGUGAAUGGGCAGUGAGUGGGCUGUGGCUGAUCCAUCAUGCUGAGUGGUGAGGAAGGGGUCCUAGAAUAUGGCUGAGUGGGUCAAAGUUCACUGCCACACUUGUGCUUGGAUCCAGGUGACUAGAGUUGGGUGUGUAGCACUGAGUAUUCCAUGGCAUGAGCGUGUGAUAAAGAUGAUUUGGAGAAAUCGGGUGGAUGAGGACCCUGAGGAAGCUACUAGCCUGUCUCGGUCAAAUCCACACAACAGGGCCUAAGCGACUGCUUAGCUGUGUCUGGACACCUUUCCGUUCUCAAGUUUACACACACGCUGUGCCAGUUGUUGGCACCAGCGUCAUGGGCGCAAAAGUGCGGCGUCAGAAGCCUCGGGCCCUGGCUUUAGACUCUGGUUUCAGAUUCCCCUCUACCCAGGCUGGCUCCGCAGCGUACCUGGUCGCCGGUGCCCAAGCCAUAGUAGCCGUUUGUCACCACUUCCCAGUGCAAGAAGCAGACGAGUGCGUCCUGUGGGCAGGUCAUGGCCGGCGCGGCCGACGCGAAGAGAACCUCCAAGCCCGCCAUGGAUGUUUGCGGCUUCUAUGGGAAAGGAAGAAGAGGAGGGGACUGUGCAGCAAGCCGUUCUGCCUAAAAGAAGCGGGACUGCAAACAGCGGUGACGCCUCUGAAUGUUGCCUUCGCUUUCGGCUCUGUCUGCACCUGCGCGGAAACGCGGAAACGCAGAAACUCGCACCGGAAAUAGCUGCUGAUUUGUGGACUCUCCGGGCUGGAAACACCUCCGCGAACUAGAGGGUUCCGCUAGGAAGCGCGUGGGUAAGACGUAGCUUCUCAAAGCCUAUCUGCCUACAGCAGAUGGAUUGCUGAGUGCCAGGCUGUUGGUCCUGGGGAGAGGCCGACUGCUGCCAUCUACAGUAGACUUCUCAUCUGCGAAGUGGAGUGUGUACUAGGCCAGGGAGGAAUUUAGGCAAUCUGUCUUAGAUGUUUUCAUAGUAAUUUAUUAGCAUGCCUUCAGUGCUUGCCUGGUAGCACUUUAUUCUGCAUUCUAAACUUUAAUGCAUUUAUUGAACUCUCCAGAUCCAAUCUUAUACAGUUGGUGUUGAUGACAGUGCUAUACCACUACGUAGAUUUGGAAAUCGUGUCACAAUCAGCCAAUGAGCAAUAGAGAUGCUCCUCGGAACUGGUCAUUGCGUUUCUAGGAUAGCAUUUAUAUGUAUGUUGAUUGCAUGCUAACUCCUGUGCCAAAAUCUUCACGCUCCUCUCAACAAAUUCAUGGGGUAUAUCUUAUUACUUACCCUCAUCUUGCAAGUGACAAAAAGAUCAGAGAGAGAGAGAGAGAGAGAGUUGAAAUGAUUUCACCCAAGAAAACACAGCUUUUGACCACACCUGCUAAUUGCCAAAUGUCAACCACUUGUUCCUCGAUCUCCAUCAAGAUUUUUUUUUUUAACCAGCAGAUGUUUCUCCAAGUUUCUUGAAGUCCAAUACUUUUUUUUUUGUAGUCAAAUAAAUUUUCACUUGUUAGUUGGUACCAUGACCCAAACCUUUGUCAUUUUUUGUUUGGUUGCCUGGCAUCAGCCUUGCUUGGCUGCCCUAUUUGCACCCUACAACCAGAGAGAUUCUGUUAAAACACAGGGAAGACCAUGUUCCUUAGGCCCAAGCCACCCAGAGUUCCCACCACAAAGGAGAAGGUUACUCUAGGUCUGCCACUCUCUUAUAGGCCCUGUGCCUUUCUGAUAUCACCUCCAAGUGUCCUUUCAUUCUCUGAUCGCCUGGCUCCAAUGGCCUUGACUUCUCUCAGCCCUCAUGCCUAGGCGAACAAGCCAUCGGUCUUGCCAUGAUGGAACUUUGUAGUGUUUUUUUUUUCAAUAGACAAAAAGCAAGCCAGUAUGAAAUCUGUCGUUUGGAGGUGCUUAGAGGCCUAGGCAAAGCCCACAGGAAGCAUAUGUGUCAAGUGAAGAUCAGGAAGGGUUUCUUGGAUAAAGAAAUGGCAAUUGCACAGAACUCUCAUGGAAGGAUAAAGAAAAAAUGUUCCCGUAAAAGAAUAUAGCAUGUGCAGGCACCAAGGUGGGAAAUGGAGCUCUCCCUGUGUAACUGGAGAAUCAACACUGCCUCUCUAUCUCUUCCUCAUCCUUAAUUACUCUCCACACUCGUCGUUCUCAAUCUGGAGGUCAUGGCCCCUUGGGGGUUGCAUAUCAGGCAUCCUGCAUAUUAGAUAUUAUGAUUCAUAACAGUAGCACAGUUACAGUUAGGAAGUAGCAAUGAAGUAAUUUUAGGUUGGGGGGUCACCAUAACUCUGUAUUAAAGGAUCGCAGCAUUGGAAGGUUGAGAGCCACUGCUCCACACCGUGCUGGAGGAGUCUGGUGGUAUGCCAAGGGGGCAGGCAUGUAACAGAGAAUGCGAUCAGCUCCAGUAGGGUGGAGAAUUUUAUCACUGAAGUAGGUUAGACUUGCUGGUUCAUGAUGAUAGCAAAACUCAGGCUGGACUUUUGGUCAUCUUUAUUAGUGGUUUUAAGGUUUUUUUUAUUCUUUCUUUCUUUUUCCUGCUGUUGUUUUGUCUUUUGGUAAUGAGGCCUAAGCCACCAGUUCUCCCACCCCUACCCUUGGUUCCACAUGGCUUUGCAUACCAUUGAUUAUGGCUUGCAGCUCUCAUACUUCCCUUUUCUUUUAUACACUAUUCCCUUUCUUAGCGUGGCUUCCCCCAAAAGUCAGUACUGAAGGUAUGUAUGGUGGCUUGUGUCUGUAAUCCCAGGACUUGGGAGGAAGAGGCAGGGUGUAAGGAGCUUAAGGCCCAUCUCAGAUUGGUGAUGAGUUAAGGCUGUCCUAGUCUACAGGAGAUCCUGUUGGGAGCCUGAGUGGCUUUAUUUGAGAGCUCCUAGCAGGAGGGUGGGCUAAAGGAGGUACCCGAUAAGCCUCUGAGAGCAGUUGGAACUCACACUUGCUGGCAAACAGUGAGGAGAGCGUAUAAAAGAUCUCAGAGAUGUCCCAACUCAGGACUGGGAAACUAGGAUAGUAUUUCACUCGGGUAAGAGCUUCUUCUAGAAUUAUGGAAAGCCCUCGGGUAGAGAGUUACAGAAUUCAAAGGAAGUGACUCUGGUGCUUACUGGUGACCUCUGGGACAAGCAGGACAUGACAUUUGCUGGGGUCCUCCUACCUCAGCUAAGGGUGAUUUGUGCCUCAGAAAGUCUGUGUUCCAGUAGUCAGUUUGGAAAAGGCAUUAGUGCAUUGAAAGAACAGAGCUAAGCUGUCUUCUGCACCAGCCUAUAAGUCCCCUGAGGGCCUGGCUGUGUUCCAUCCAUCCUGUCCCCAGCAUCUUCCACCCAUGAGAAAAAGUAAGAAGAUUCUCUGCCUCCCUUGGUCUAUCCAGGUGUUUCUGUAGACUUACCUACAUCAGCAAGGGCCCGGGUCUGCCCUGGGAGUCCUGGGAGGAGCUGAGACAGGGAGCAGGUGGGAGAUGCCUCCCUGGCCCCCCGGUAGACCCAGUCUACCUAGGUGGAAAGGGGCCCAUGCCUGAUUAGGGAAUAGGGUGAAAGGAAAAACUGGUAGGUGGCAGCAGCCACCAGUUCCUGGUUGCCAAGUGACAGCAAUGUGUACAUUCCAAGCUCUGUGCUCCCUUGGAAACUGUUGAGAUAGGAUCUACAGGUCAGGCCAUGGGACCAAUGAGGAAGAGCCCAACUAGCAUCCUUUUCUUUUCGCUUCAGCUCAGCUGCUGACCUCCAGAGAGAUGUCUACGAGAGGUAUUUUUCUUUACAUCCACCAAAUGACUGACUAGAGUGUAAGACUUCCCCUCUACUCCCCACUGGGUGUACAGUGCAAUUGCCACUAAAAGCAAACAGCUUUCUUUUGAAAUAUAAUUUUAAUAUAACACUAUUAGUUUUUCAAACAUUGUUUUUUUUAUAUUGCGGCCAAACACACAGAACAGAGUUUAUUUGUCAUCUUAAUCAUUCGUAAUCACUUAAUUUAGUGACACCAAGGGCAUGUGUAUUGUGUAAGCUUCACCACCCCUCGGCUCCAGGCAUUUCAUUUUGCCAGGCUGAGACUCUGCUCAUUAAACAGUAAGUUCCCACAUCCUCCUCUUUCAGUGGGUGGCAGCAACAAUUCUUCACUUUCUUUCUGCGUGGUUGGUUUUGUUUGCUUGUUUUGUUGUUGUUGAGACAGGGUUUGGCUGUGUAGCCCUGGCUGUCCUGACACUAACUCUGUUUGUAGACUAGCCUGGCCUCAAACUCAUAGUGAUUCGAUCCUCUGCCUUCUGAGUGCUGGGACUAAAAGUGUGCGCCACUGCCCGGCCACUAUUUGACUUUCUAUCUGUGUGGAUUUGACUCUGUGGACGUGGCGUACACAUAUGACUCUGCUUCUGUGCCUUUAGGGAUUUAAACCUAGAGAGAGAAUUGCUGGAUCAUACAACAUUUUUAUUUUUGAUUACUUUAAGGCAGGGUUUUAUGUAUCCAAGGCUGGCCUCAAACUCAUUAUAUAUGAUCCUGCUGCCUUCGCCUCCCGAAUGCUGGCAUUACAGGUGUGUACCACCACUCCUAGUUUUUGUGAUGCUGGACGUAGGAGUCCAGGGCUUGGUGCAUUCUACCAAGAAUUCUACUGAGUAAGAUACAGCCCAACCCUCUAUUUUUAAGUUUUUGAGGACCUGGACCUACACACAUACUAUUUACCUGGGGUCUAUACUGCUUUUUAUUCCCAUAUACAGUGCAUACAGGUUUCAAUCUGGCCAGCAUUUUUUUGACAGGAGUCACUCUAAUGAGUGUGAAGUGAUAUUUUCUUGUUACGCUGUGUUAGGUGUCAUUAUGGCGUCCACUGUCCUUUUGGUUUGCAUUUCCUUCAUGCUUUGUGGUGCUGAACAUCCUCUGGUGUGGCUUUUAUUUGGAGAAAUGUCCGUUUAAAGCAUCAACUUGUUUUCUAAUUUUCGGGAUUUUUUCUCAUAUGUUUUAAGUGUUAUUUCUAUAUUGGCUGCAUUGAUUUACAAAUAUUCCUUCUCUUUCUGUAGGUUGCUUUUUUUUUUACUUUAUUUGAUAGUAUCUCAUGUUCUUUCUUUUUCUUUCUCUGUAUGCAUUGCAUACUUGUGUGCAUUCAUGAGUUUGUGCAUUCGUGUGUGUGUGUGCAUUUGUGUAUGUGUGUGCAUUUGUGUGUGUUGGAGACCAGAGGACAGCCUCUAGUGCCAUUUCUUUCUUUUUUUUUCUUUUCUUUUUUUCAGAGCUGGGGACUGAACCCUUCUAGUGCCAUUUCUUAACAAAUGUCCACCUUGGUUUUUUGUUUCUUUGUUUUUGAGGCAGGGAUUCUCACUGGGAGCUGGGGCUUGCUGAUUCAGUAGGCUGACAGAUCUGUGAUUGAGGUAUUUUCCAGUCUUUGCUUCCCCAGUGCUGUGAUUGUAACUGUAUCCCACUCUGCCUGAUGUCUUUAUGCAGAUGGUGGGAAUCAAACCUGCAUCCUCAUGCCGGUGCAGCAGGCCGAGCUGUCUCCCCAGCACCUGUUGAUAGCAUCUUUCUACAAACAUCUUAAGUGUCCUUGAGGUCCGUGCUCAGCAGGCUGCUUCUGAAGAGAGAGGCUGCUCUGGGAGUACAGUGGAGCCACAUCUGGAGACUGUUAGCACACUGUACUCAUUGCUGCUUGAAGAGCAUCUUUCUUGAAGUAACCAUUCUAUGGAUGGAAUUAGAAAUAUGUAAUUCUUUUGAGUCUGUCUGUCUUUGACAUGUCUGAGAUCUGCCCAUCCUGAUGGAGGUGCCAAUCUUUUCUCUGUUUUUUUUUUAUUUAUGUUGUUGUAUAGAUAUAACCCAAUUUAUCCACUUCUUUUUUUAAAGAUUUAUUUAUUUAUUUUAUGUACAGCAUUCUGCCUGCAUAUGUGACUGCAGGCCAAAAGAGGAGGGCACCAGAUCUCAUUACAGAUGGUUGUGAGCCACCAUGUGGUUGCUGGGAACUGAACUCAGGACUUCUGGAAGAGCAGUCAGUGCUCUUAACCACUGAGCCAUCUCUCCAGCCCAAUUUAUCCAUUUCUUUACUGAUAGGCACCUGGGCUGUUUUCAUGGGCCACACUUCUGUGAACAUUCCUGUACCAGUCUUGGCACGGACAUACGCUUCCAUUAGUCCUGAGUAAAUUCCUUUGAGUGGAAUUGCAUGGUAUUAAACUGGCUCAUAUUUAUCAGACACUGACAAAUGGAGUUACUAAAUGGUUAUAUCACUCCACCCCUCACCCCAUCAGUGAAUGAGAAUCCUAGUGCUCCACAUCCAGCAGGAAGGGAUUUACUAUGGAAUGUGCUUACAAAACAGUUGGAUAGUGUAACACUUCCCCUGAGGAAUCCCUUUCUAUUCAUCCCUGAUAGGGUACCAACAACAUACCAAAGACACGAUUCUACCCAAGUCCAUGUUGGGGGAAUCAAUGAGUUGAAUUUUACAGGAGCAAACCGAAGUGUUUUACCAAAAAGUCCCAUCUUGGAUGCUGACUUCCCCAAAGCUGUAUAAAUGAAGUCUCCCGUUAGUUAGCCUCCCAGCUCCUGCAUAGCAUAGCAUCUUCUGAGACCAUGUCCCGCUGAAGUGGGAGUAAAUGUGCGUGUGGGGAAGUAGGGUAUGUGAGUGGAGAGUAUGAGUGAGUGUGAGAGAGAAGGUGAUAUGGGUGUGUGAAGUGGGGAGCUGGAAUCUUGGGCGAUUGAUAACUCCAUUUCAGUUCAAAUGCCAAUGCCCUAGGUUGAGAUUUCAGAAGUGUGUGGUAUGGUCACAGGAGCACAGAUUCCCAUCGUCACCCUUAGCAGCCUGAAUAAUUAGUUCCUCUAAAUAUUUCCCCUUCUCUACCUUACCCUGAGGCUCAUCUGUUUAAUUUGGUCCCCAGCUGGUGGUGCUUUCUGAGGGAGCCUGUGGAACCUUUGGAAGGGUAGAUUUCACUGGAGAAAGAGGAGUUUAGGAGGCCCAACCCAGUUAUAAUCAUUUUCUCUGCCUCCUUCUCCACAUGUUGUGCUCCAAGCUCCUGUGGCUAGGGACAGAAGUUAAUCUCACCGCCAUGCCUUCCCAAGGAAAAGAAUGAGACAAAAUAAACCCUCUUUCCUCAAGCGGCUUCCUGCCCAGUUAGUAUCUCCUGGCAAAAAGAAUAGUAUUAAUAAUAACUAAUACACAUUCUAAGUCCAUCCCUCUGACAGCAUUUCUCCCAGUCUGCAGGAACCCACCCCUGAAAUCUGAAGUCAACGCAGGGACCAUUCACAUACUGUGAGCUAUUUUGAAGGCAUCAGGUGGGUGAAGGAAGGGCUAGGAAAAGGGAAGAGCCCACGCCAAGAACAGAGAGAUAAGUAUAAGCAUGAAAAGUCCCUUCCAACUGCAGGGACUUUGGAAGGCCCAUGUAGAGGCGAGGGAAGCCACUAGAGGGCGUCCGUAUCCGUACAAAAGCUCAGGAAAGGGGCGGGGCCUGCACCUUUUUACUGCUUUGUUCUUUCAGGUGGUUUUCACUGAAUCCUUGAAGGUUCACAAUACCCCGGCAGGUUCAUAAGACCCCAGGAGGCUGUUUACAUCGCGACCUUCAGCUCUGCACAUCAUUUGAUUUCAGGAGAGGGAGGCCUUAUGGGAUGCCGUUGCUUUGCUUCUGAAAGUACACCCUUUCCCCGCCCCAUCAAUGAAGGUGAAGGGGAGAGAAAGAGGUGAUGGUUUCUUUGGCUGCUGUUGUAAUAAGAAUCAGCUAUUGGUGUCUACGGCCCUGUUAAAAGACAAUUGUCAAGGGAACGAACUAAGAUCACGACCCUUACAGAGCUAUGAAAGAGACUAUAUUGUAAGAUUUUACUUCACUUGUUAAAAGUGCGAGGGAACGAUACAGAUGAUACAGAUGUUAUAACGGUCUAAAGGGACUGGAUUAUAAAGGCCGACUCUGUGUUUCCUCAAAGGGAAAUAAAAAGAUGCUACCACAUAACAGAGUUUGCACAGCUAAGGCUAUCUUUAAUCUACAGGUGGUGGCGGUGGGGUGUGCAUCAAGCUUAAGGGACAGUCGGAAAGGCUCUGAGAUUCCAGCUUCUUAUGCUGGUCAAAUGAAGCACUUCUCAGCUUCUCUGGGUCUUGGUUUCCUCCUCUAUAAAAUGGGGCUACUAACUGGUUUCCCUUCCUGACUGCUGAGGAGAUGGAACGAGCCUCUAGCUGCUUUUGCUCAUGAGGUAUAAGCAAGCUUUUACUCCCUUUCCUUGUUCCUUAACAUCCUCUCUGGGACCCUCCAUCCCUGGGUCGGGUACCUUGUUUUGGAUUCCCUCGUUCCAUCUUCUGCGCUUCCCAUGAUGAGAGAGACUCUGAGGAGCAGACCAAACUUACAAAGGCGGUGGCACUUCAAGGAUGCUCUCUGUAUCCCACCACACAUGGAGACUUAAUGCUGGCAAUUGAGUCAAGUGAUGCCCCAGGCAUGGUUUGGAACUGCAGGGGUACCCUGAGGUUACGGUCUCCCUCCCUGAUGGAAUCCCUUCCUCUGCCCCAGAGAGUUGGAGAACUCACCUCCUGAAUGCUGCCCGCUCCACUUCUUCCCCGUUGCAGGGCUGACAAGCUUCCAGACCAGAGCAGCCUGGGAAAGGCCUGGCAGGUGGCGUGGCUGUGGUGAGUCAUGGCAACUGGCUGGCAGGGAUGGAGCAGGGAUGGCUUCUAGCCUUUAGCACAUGAACUCCAGACCAUCCAGCAGUGCCAUAGUUUCCACCUCGCUCACAUGGCCUGGCAGAUAGGGCCAGCCUGGCUGGACUCUAACGAAAAGAAAGAAAAAGGCACAGCUUACCCUCUAGGUCAAACCUACGUGGACGGUGAAGGUAAGCAGGAUGGGCAGAGGCUAGCCUCCUCUGCAGCCGUGUUCUAGUUCUCCUGAGUGACCUCCCUGUCGCUCCUCUUCUGACAAUGUCAGCAAGGUAAGGUUCCUGCAUCACUUAGGGUCUUGAGUGACCCAGAUCUGGGCCAUUGAUUGGCAGGACAGAUAGAGCUUUUGUCUUUAUAGAGACUUAGUUAGAAAAGAAUGACAAUUCAAACUGAUGUGUUUAAAAAAAAAUGUAUCUAGUGGCUUCCGUACCAAAACUGUCCUAAGGAGAAGGCACACCAGAGGAGGAUAGGGGGUGAGGGGAUGUGCUUUAGCCUAGAAGACCACACUGACAAGGAAUAUCAGAGUAGAGAGCCAGCGAUGAAUGGAGUCAGGUGAUAACGGAGGCAGGGGGACUAGCGGGUGCAAAGGUUCCCAAAGACCAAGGAUGCCUGACAUGUGUGGCUGGAGUAAAGAGGGAGACAAGGGAUGAGACUUGGAGUCAAAGGUAACAAAUAUUAUCUGGGUCUUGUAGGGUCAAGGAAAGGAAUGGGACUUUUUUUUAAAGAUUUAUUUAUUAUAUUUAAGUACAUUGUAGCUGUCUUCAGACACACCAGAAGAGGGCAUCUGAUCCCAUUACAGAUGGUUGUGAGCCACCAUGUGGUUGCUGGGAUUUGAACUCAGGACCUCUGGAAGGACAGUCAGCGCUCUUAACCACUGAGUCACCUCUCCAACCUAGGAAUGGGAAUUUUUAAAAGAAAAUCUUUUAUUUCAUGUGCUGAAAACCGUUAGAUUCCUGCUGGCUUCGCCGAUAAGGGGGAUUGAGGAAAGAGAGAGAAGCGGAGGGGCCUACAGCUGAAACAAGGACCACUCCUGGCAACCAGCCUGGCUCUCCGUUUCAGGGUGUCCAGAUGGGGAGCCAGAGGGAGGACUGGUGCCUGGUUAUGGAGCAAUGUUCAUCAGGGACCUUGAUGUUGGUAACGGCUGGGCCACCUCUCUGAGUCACCUAAAACCCCCACGUGAGUGGCCUAUGCCACAUCGGGUUGCUGCCUGCCACCAUCCACCAGCCUCGGAGUGGCAGGGCUUCCCUGUGGCAGCAGUGCCCAGACUUGGCCUCAAUGUAGCUUCAUUGGAGCAAGCGGAUAGUGGAUGCCCCAAGCUCCAUGAAUAAAUAAAAUCUGGAGAAGACAUAGGAAAAGCCAAUGGCUUCAUUUUACAGAUCGGGAAGCUGAGGCAGAGUGACAGGAAGUGGGACACUAAGGCUCAGAGAUGCCUUAACUGGACAGAAGCAAAGUGGUGACUUUACUUCCUGGUUCCCCAAAACCUGUGUCCCUUGCUCAAUUCUGAGACAAAAAUCUUGAUGUAUAUAUGUGUGUGACAAAACUUUUCCUGAGGAGAUGAAACACACUCACCUAGUCACCCCAGACAGGGAACCCAUGACAGUCCAACGUACAGAUACCCCUAAAGUAUUCCAACUUGGUAAACCAAUGAGUUUUACUAGAGUUACUUAUAAAAAUAUGAGGGAGAGGUUACUCACAGGAGCAGAAAUUACUCAAAGACAGGUGCAUCGCCAAGGCCCACCCCAGGGUAGAAGAUGCUCACACAAGCCGGAGCACACUGCACAGCCUGCAGGCAGCUCUACAGCCUGGAGAGUGUCCUUUCCAGGAGCCUCAGUGGUUCUGAACCUCUUCCAGGUGGCUCUUCUGGUCUGAAUCUUCUCAGUAGCUUUCCUCCUCUCAGAAUCUUUGCAUCUCAGCAGGGCUUUGAAUCCUCUGGUAGGGAGGGGCCUAGUGAAUCUGCUCAGUUCCAGGGAGUUCUUGAAGCUGUGUUGUUGUUAACUUCCUUUAAGGAGCAGAGAGGAAUGUUUUGGUCUGGGAGGAGACUGUUACACCACUCCAGACCCACAGACGGGCUCUACUUUGCACCCCAGCCCCACCCUCAGCUGGAUGGGGGCUUUGCACAUCACCUCUCUGGCUCUCAUAGUUCUUCAUCUGCAAAUGGAGAUCGUGAUGGCAAGACCACCUUCUCCUGGGACUGUGGCAGCAGUUAGGGAGACAUGUUGGCAUGAGUUUUCAUGUUUUGUUUCUACGCUGAGACUGGUGUGUCCAGAAUUGGUUGAGUGGAAUGGAGGUGAUCUGGCUGGGUGAAGGUCUGGGAACUGUCAAUCCGGGAACUAAGGGAACUGUAGAAGUUUGGACUGUGGAGCUGAGGGUUCAGGGACUCCUUACCUGCUGCUAGUGCAGGGGCUGGGAAGGAAGCUGUGGUGGAGUUUGGCCCAGUGCCCUGAGCCCUUAUCUGACAGUACUGGGACCUGGGGUUUGUCGGGGAGCUGUGGUACUGAUUUAAUAAGGUGGUAUGUAGAGGGCAGAAACAGGAGCAAAGAGUGAACCCUUAUCCAUCAGAAAAGCAACCAGAAAACUGGAAAGCAUGGUCAGAAACAAACUUUUCAGAACCUUUGUAAUUAAUCAAAGUCUCAUAGUAAUAGAGAGAUCAUUUAUUCAAGGAAGAAGGUUAAGGGACUAGGACAAUGGCUCAGUUGGUUUUAAAAAUAGGUUUGUUUUACAAGCAUGAACAUCUGAGUUUGGAUCUCCAGCACCCUUGUGAAAAGUUGGGCACAGCGUUUACGUCUCUAAUCUCAGAGCUUGUGAGGAAAAGAGGAUGAUCCCUUGGCUUCAUGGUCAGCUAGUCUAUAGCAGAUCAAUGAGCUAUAGGUUCAGUGAGAGACAUGAGUGAUGGAAAAAAGACAGUUGGCAUUGACCUCUGGCCUACAUGUGCACACACAUAUGCAUAUUCAUACAUACAUAUAUGCAUGCAUGCAUGCAUACAUGCAUGCAUACAUACAUAUAUACAUGUACACAAAGGAAGAAAGUUAAGUGUGAACUGAAGCAAGGGCUUUGUGGGGUUCUUGCCUCACUUUCAUGUUCUUUAUUAGAAGGUUGUGAUAGCUUUGGAAACCAACAGGCCACAUCCAUGAUGAAAAAUCAUCCUGACAGCCUGAAGGCACAGAUGGGGUGAAAUGUCUUUCAAGGCCUAAGACUUGACAUUUUUCUUCUUGUCUGCUGAGCCUCUGGAAGACUCCACUUGCAAGGCUGUUUUAUUACCUGACUCACAACUUACCCUGUACAGAAGGCCUUUUGCUGAGUCCUUUUUUCUGGGGAAUGUUUGCCAAGGUAUUUACAAGUAGUUGGGAAACUUGUGGACUACUUAGGUGGCAGAUAAAAUUUGGGGAGAACAAUAGGUUAAACAAAAAAUAUAAUGAAUUGAAUAAUUAGAGGGUGAAACCUCAUAGGAGCCUCAGAAAGCUCUGACCAGUUACUGGGAAUCUGUGAAACUGUAUGCUUGCAGGACUGGGAAGUGCCCACACUCAGGCACUGGUCCAGAAAAGGGUCCUACACUUUCUCUCUGCAUAAGCAUGAAAUGAAAGCCCAGCAGGUAACCAAUUGCCUGGCUGAGUUUUGAGCGCACACACAAAUAGGGUAUAUUUUUGCAUAGACAGAGUAACUUGUUCCAAGUCUUUAAGGAAACCUCUGCCCAGUCAUUGGCUAAAGUAACUGAACAGAAAUUCACUACCAUACACACAAAAGCAUGCAGACCUUACAGAAUAUGUUCAGAGAAGUCAGUAAAGUAAGGAACACAUCCAGGGGAGGGAAGAACAGCUCAUGUCUAGGGCAUCUGCAUUAUGCUGUAUGAAGUCUCCUGUAUGAUAAGCCAUGCAAAGAUACAAGAAACUACAGAAACACAAGGUGGGGGGAAGCAAGCAAUAGAAAGUUUCUGUUGGGAAGCCUAGAUGUCGAGCUUACCCAGAUAGUUUAAGUAGUCUAUUUAAAAUAUACUUGAAGAACCACGGAAAUCACUUUUAAAGAGCCAAGGGAAAGUGGGGUGAUGUCUCAUUGAAUAGGCAAUAAUAACAAAGGGAUAGAAGUUUCUUUAAAAAGAAGUAGGUGGACAUUUAGGAGUUGAAAAGUGUAAUUAAAAUAGGAAGUUCACUGGGAGGAUACAUCCGCAAACUGGAGCAAACAAAAGGGAAAGUUGGGAAACUUGAAGCAGGCCAAAUGAGAUUUCCAUGUCUGAGCAACAAUGAAAAACAAACAGGACUGCGAAGGUCUGUGGGACAUAAUUAAACAUAACGUCAUUCCUAGAAAAGAAAGGAUAGUUGAAGAAAACAUCUGUUGAAAAUACUUUAACCUACACAUCCUCACAGCCAACAGCUAUAAAUAGCACAAGUUCAAAGGCCCGUAUCUGGACACGUCACUCUCAAACUGUUGAAUGUCAGAGAGAGGGCGCAAACCUUGAAAACAAAAGGGAAGAUGUGGUUCGUCUGGUAUUAGGAGUCGAAUAAGCACAAUAGCUGAGCUCCCUCAAGAACUCUCGAAGGCUAGCAGGCAGCAGAUGACAUUCUUAAAGCACCGAAAGACGAAGACUGUUAAUCAAGAUUCUGUAUCCGAUUCCAGAAAGAUGGCUCAGCUGGUACAGGCACUUGCCACCAAGGUUGGUGACCCGAGUCCCGUCCCUGGAGCUCACUUGAUGGAUGAAAAAGCCAGCUCUAGCCUCUGACCUCUACAUCAUGGCAUGCACAUAAUGUCUUCUAUACAUGGACAUAAAAUAAAUAUAUAAAAUGUAAAAACCAUGGUGUCUUUUGGAAAUAUGAAAAAUGAAGACAUUUUUAGGUAAACAAAAACAAGGUGAUGUUUGGCAGACAACCCUUCAAGAAAUCUAAGUGAAGAGCUGGAGACACACCUCAUUAAUAGAGUGCUUACCCAGAUUUAAUCCCUAGCCAUGGGCAAUGCCAAGCACCAAAAGAAACCAACACCUGUUUCAUGUUUUUGGUGUUUUAGUUUAUGGCUACAAUCCCAACACUUCAGCUACUGUAACAGGACGAUCACAAGUUCAAGGCCAGACUGAGCUACAUGGUAAGACCAUGUCACAAACCAAACCAAACCAAACCAACCAAACUAACCAACCAAAUAACCAACCAAACAAGGGCUGGGGUAUGGCUUAGUGGUGAAGAACUUGUAUAGCAUGUGGAAGACUAUGGGAUUGACUCCCUAGUGCCAAAACAAACAAGCGGAGUAAACCAAGAAAAUACUCCAAAGAGAAUCUUUCAGGAUGAAGUCAAGAACACAAGAUUAACUCAACUCCAUAUUAAAAGACAAAGUAGCCAUUAAAGGUACACAGUAUGCACACGUGUAACUUAGAUUACUAUUUAAAUAACUGAUUCUAAGUCUGUCCUGGCAGCCUACAACCUAUAGAGAUAUAAUUUAUAUACUGUAUAUAACAGUAACAACAUAAAGAAAUAAAAGACAUCCAGACUGAAAAGGGGAUAAACAAAAAUACUUCAAUUUGCAGAUAACAUGAUCAUAAUCUUAUAGAAAAUUCCAAGGAUUACACACACACACAACAGAGAGAGACAGAGACAGAGACAGAGAUAUGGAGAGAAAGAAAGAGAAA
Non-coding RNA from Rattus norvegicus (Norway rat), 22780 nucleotides. The record is from RefSeq and is a predicted model, not a curated record. Lineage: Eukaryota; Metazoa; Chordata; Mammalia; Rodentia; Muridae.